RNAcentral lists this ribosomal RNA (309 nucleotides) under uncultured Scutellospora. Its description in RNAcentral is "SSU rRNA". It matches the Rfam family "Eukaryotic small subunit ribosomal RNA", at positions 569 to 883 of the family's 1831-position model. Lineage: Eukaryota; Fungi; Glomeromycota; Glomeromycetes; Diversisporales; Gigasporaceae. The record is from RNAcentral.
AGCAGCCGCGGUAAUUCCAGCUCCAAUAGCGUAUAUUAAAGUUGUUGCAGUUAAAAAGCUCGUAGUUGAAUUUCGGGAUUCUACCGUCGGUCGGGCUACCAAGUCUGUACUGGUGUGUAGAAUUCCUACCUUCUGGGGAACCAUCAUGUUAUUAAUUUAGCGUGGUGGGAAACCAGGACCUUUACCUUGAAAAAAUUAGAGUGUUCAAAGCAGGCUUAUGUCUGAAUACAUUAGCAUGGAAUAAUAGAAUAGGACGGUGGUCCUGUUUUGUUGGUUUCUGAAUCACCGUAAUGAUUAAUAGGGAUAGUU